RNAcentral lists this ribosomal RNA (630 nucleotides) under uncultured Thermoprotei archaeon. RNAcentral's name for it is "bacterial SSU rRNA". It matches the Rfam family "Archaeal small subunit ribosomal RNA", at positions 1 to 608 of the family's 1478-position model. Lineage: Archaea; Thermoproteati; Thermoproteota; Thermoprotei. The record is from RNAcentral.
UCCGGUUGAUCCUGCCGGACCCUACUGCUAUCGGGAUGGGACUAAGACAUGCUAGUCGUGCGCUUCUAAGCCAUGGUGGAGGCGCGGCGCACAGCUCAGUAACACGUGGUUAACCUGCCCUUGGGACGGAAACACCCCCGGGAAACUGGGGCUAAUUUCCGAUAGGUGAAGACUCCUGGAAUGGAUCUUCGCCUAAAGGGCGCUUAGGCCAUGCUUCUAGGCGCUGCCCAAGGAUGGGACCGCGGCCGAUCAGGUUGUUGGUGAGGUAAUGGCUCACCAAGCCUUUAACCGGUUCGGGCCGUGGGAGCGGGAGCCCGGAGAUGGGCACUGAGACAAGGGCCCAGGUCCUACGGGGCGCAGCAGUCGCGAAAACUCCGCAAUACGCGAAGGCGUGACGGGGCUAUCCCGAGUGCCGUCCGCUGAGGAUGGCUUUUCCCCAGUGUAGAUAGCUGGGGGAAUAAGGAGAGGGCAAGUCUGGUGUCAGCCGCCGCGGUAAUACCAGCUCUCCGAGUGGUGGGGACGUUUAUUGGGCCUGAAGCAUCCGUAGCCAGCUGAGCAAGUCCCCAGUUAAAUCCAGCGAUUUAAUCGUUGGACUGCUGGGGAUACUGUCCGGCUUGGGGGUGGGAGAGG